UUGAACAAAUCCAAAGGGGAUUUGCCACACUAAAGGGGUACAAGAUAAUGUCAGCAUACAAGAGGGCUAAAAAUCUAAAGGACAUCCUGGUCAGUACAAGUCUACACACAGCCCCAGACUGUGGGCAGAGACGGUGUGGGGCCUGCACCCACUUAGCAAUAGUCAAAAAUAUAGAGAACAGUGUAACAGGGGAGAGAGGCCAGAUAGGAAGAGCGUCGUGUAGGGAAAGAG
Amblyraja radiata (thorny skate) is the source of this 231-nucleotide long non-coding RNA. RefSeq lists it as uncharacterized. Lineage: Eukaryota; Metazoa; Chordata; Chondrichthyes; Rajiformes; Rajidae. The record is from RefSeq and is a predicted model, not a curated record. The transcript has 3 exons.